This 3380-nucleotide long non-coding RNA is filed under the name Vitis vinifera (wine grape). RNAcentral's name for it is "long non-coding RNA (VVIN_LNC007426)". The record is from RNAcentral. Lineage: Eukaryota; Viridiplantae; Streptophyta; Magnoliopsida; Vitales; Vitaceae.
CGCCUCGACGAGCUUGCUUCUGUGUACGAUUAUGUGCAGCCACUGAUGGAGUUCGUGGCCUCCCUUCCUCAAGAUGAGAAGGUGGUGUUGGUGGGUCAUAGCUAUGGAGGCCUCGCUAUUUCUCUGGCUAUGGAGAGCUUCCCUGAGAAGAUCCUGGUUGGGGUCUUCGUAUCAGCUUAUAUGCCAAAUUAUAUAUCCCCACCUGUAACUCUCGCAGAAGAAGUGAGCACAAUCAAUCUUUGAUCAAACCCUAAUCUGCUCAACAUACACAUCAUUGAAAUUCUAUUUUUUAUACUGAUUUUGUGCUAUAUAUGAUUUUGGACAAACCAGUUCUUCAUCAAUAGAAGCAAGCCUGAGUCACUACUGGAUACCCAGCUUUCGUUUGGCCAAGGACUGGAGAGCCCUCCAACAGCACUGACCUUUGGUCCAGAUCACUUAUCAGUGGCACUUUAUCAAAACUGCCAACCGGAGGUGAGUGUUUAAUUUAAUCGAAUUUGCUUGAACUAAAUGGAUGGAAAAUGAUGUCAUGUAAGUUGUUUGAUUCCAACCAUUUGGAACAGAGGUGUGUAAUGGGGUUUGUUGUGUUGCAGGAUUUGGAACUGGCCAAAAGUUUGAUAAGGCCUCACGGGUUGUUCCUGGAAGACUACGCCAAGGAAUCUUUACUAAGCAAAGAGAAGUUUGGAUCCGUGGAUCGGGUGUAUGUGGUGUUGGAAGAAGAUGAAAUAAUGAAGGACUUCCAGCAAUGGGUGAUCGACAACAGCCCACCAAAAGAAGUGAAGUUCAUUGCCGGAGCUGAUCAUAUGGGGAUGAUGUCCAAGCCCAAAGAGCUCUGCCUCUGUUUCCAGGAGAUAGUUCAGCAGUAUAAUUGAAUUUGCAGUCCUCCUUCAAUAAACAACUGCAAUAAGAAGAGUAGUAACCUACUAGAUCGUUGCAAUAUCCCAGUAGUUCAAACAUUUUCGUGCAUUUUCUCAGAUCUGGGUUUGCUUUUUCAUGAUGAAUCUAAAUUGAUUUUCUCAUCAGUAAUUAGUAGAUGAUAAUCAGCAGACUCAGUGAUCACCAUGUGUCCUCUUUGCCAAAAAUAGAAGCUAAAUUAAUUUUCUCAUCAAUAAUUAGUAGCUGAUAACCAGCAGACUCAGUGGUCAUCAUUUCUUUUAAAGGAUAACUUGGUAGACAAUAAAUUUAUUGACAUUAAAAUUCGUUCUACACUUGGCAACAGAGCAAAUCAAAUAUUUAAGGCCUUUCCUUCUAUGACAUGGUAAUGGGCCAAUGGCAAAAAGAAGAGAAAAAAAUUAAAAUUUUCACAUUGAUGAAUCUCAUUGUGAACUCCUCCAGUAAGAAUAUGAAAACGCAAGGGAUUAAGGGCCCCAAAACGGUGCAUUUAUGGCCCGGCCCACAUGAAGCUACGCUAUCCCACAUAAUAGGGAUCAAAUCAUGAAUUAUUGAUGGAUCAAAGUUUCACAAUGAAAAUUUCAGCUUUGUUGAUAUAUGCAAUGCAAUACACAUUGGAACAAAGUCAAAAUAAUUAAAUAUUCAUGAACAACGCAACAAGACAAUAGUGAGAGCAAAUGAGCAUCGACAAUCAAAAGGUAUCUACAGUAAUACAGAGAAUCUGAAAGGAAGGACGUCACUGUCUUUGAAAAGGCUGUAUACCAAACAUUAUAUAUGGCACUUAUAAAGUCAUAACGCCCAUGAUAAUAUAUAUAUGCACGCCUGUGACGAACGACAUGAUUAGUAUUUGGAAACAAAGGCUACGUUUCUGGCCGGCGCCGUCAUCUCACUGUGCCUUUAUUGCCAUUGUGGUCUUUUUCAUUUAUGGUAUAAGAUUCGCCCUCGCCCCACGCGAUCCAAAGCAUCAAGAUAUGGACAGAGGGAAACACUUCGUUCUAGUUCAUGGAGCUGGCCAUGGAGCUUGGUGCUGGUACAAGCUUGUCCCACUGCUCAAAUCCUUUGGUCACAGCGUCACCGCGCUGGACUUGGGCUCUUCUGGGGUCAACCCCAAGAGCCUAGACGAGCUUGCUUCUGCAUACGAUUAUGUGCAACCGCUGAUGGAGUUCGUGGCCUCCCUUCCUCAAGAUGAGAAGGUGGUUUUGGUGGGUCAUAGCUAUGGCGGCCUCCCUAUUUCUCUGGCUAUGGAGAGCUUCCCUCAGAAGAUCCUAGUUGCGGUCUUCGUAUCAGCUUAUAUGCCAAAUUAUAUAUGCCCACCUAUAACUCAAGCACAAGAAGUGAGCACAAUAAAUCUUUGAUCAAACUCUAAUCUGCUAUACAUACAUAUCAUUGAAAUUCUAUUUGUUGCACUGAUUUUGUGCAAAAUGUGAUUCUGGACAAACCAGUUCCUCAUCAAUAGAAUCAAGCCAGAGUCGUUAUUGGAUUCCCAGCUUUCGUUUGGUCUAGGACUGGAAAGCCUUACAACAGCAGUGACGUUUGGUCCAGAUUACUUAUCAGUGGCACUUUAUCAACACUGCCAACCGGAGGUGAGUGUUUAAUUUAAUCGAAUUUGCUUGAACUAAAUGGAUGGAAAAUGCUGUUAUAUAAGUUGUUUGAUUCCGACCAUUUGGAGCAAAGUGUGAAAUGGGAUUUGUUGUGUUGCAGGAUCUGGAACUGGCCAAAAGUUUGGUAAGGCCUCAUGGGUUGUUCCUGGAAGACUUCGCCAAGGAAUCUUUACUAAGCAAAGAGAAAUUUGGAUCCGUAGAUCGGGUGUAUGUGGUGUUGGAAAAAGAUGAAGUAAUGAAGGAGGAUUUCCAGCGAUGGGUGAUUGACGACAGCCCACCAAAAGAAGUGAAGUUCAUUGCCGGAGCUGACCAUAUGGUGAUGAUAUCGAGGCCCAAAGAACUCUGUCUCUGUUUCCAGGAGAUAGUUCAGCAGUAUAAUUGAAAUUGCAGGCCUCCUUCAAUAAACAACAAUAAUUGUAAACUGAAAUAUAUAAGAAGAGUACAAACAUAUAUACUGGAUCCCUGCAAUCCCAUAGUAGGUUAAAUUUAGUGAAUUAAUUGUCUCAGAGCUGGGUUUGCUUUUCUCUCGAUGAAUCUAAAUUUUCUCAUCAGUAAUUAGUUGAUGAUAAUCAGCAGACUCACUGCUCAUCAUUUGUCAAAUUUGCCAACAAUAAAAAAGCAUGUGAGCAGCUUUGGGAUUGCAGGUACAAGCUUGGUGCUGGUACAAGCUUGUCCCACUGCUCAAAUCCUUUGGUCACCGCGUCAUCGCUCUGGACUUGGGCGCUUCCGGGGUUAACCCCAAGCGCCUCGACGAGCUUGCUUCUGUGUACGAUUAUGUGCAGCCACUGAUGGAGUUCGUGGCCUCCCUUCCUCAAGAUGAGAAGGUGGUGUUGGUGGGUCAUAGCUAUGGAGGCCUCGCUAUUUCUCUGGCUAUGGAGAGCUUCCCUGAGA